CCUAAAAAACAGAAUGAAAUCAUUUAGUUUUCAGCAGAAAUUAGACAUAUACAUUUUACCUAUUAACUCUCAUGAUACACAGUUCAGAGUUUUUAGCUUUGACGCUUUUAUUUACCUUUAAGCUUUUCUAUAAAAAACAUUUGUGAAUAGAACUACUGUUUAAACUUUAGCUUUUUCUGUGCAAGAGGCACCAGGGUACAUGACUACUUAACUUGCCUUUAAUACAAACAAAAAAUGAGCAUACCACACCAAUUAAACAAAAACAGUAAGACACCACCACAACUGUCCGUCUUUUUUGCAAUUUCAAUACGAAGACUUAACUACUUUCCCCAUCUCGGUAGAGUGGGAUCCUUCCAGAUCAGUGUUGAGGCAUAAUGCAAGGAGAUUAAUAGAUUUUAAGACCUGAAGGGACAGUUCAUCUAGUCUGACUUUCUCUAUAUCACACACCACUAAAUUUCCACUCAGCUACACCCGUAUUGAGCCAAAUAACUUAUUUUUGACUAAAGCACUGAAUUGCCAAUGCCUGAACUCUUCAAGUACUGUGACUCUAUACAGGACUUUAGUCUCUAGGACAAUUAAUCCAGAGCCUUUCACUAACUUUUUUUUUAUUAUUUUUAAAACUUAGAGAACAAUAUAAGUAAAGGGUUGCUAUCAGAAUAUAUUUUGAAACCUUCAGACAGUCUUAAAUUGCUGCUAUUUUGAGGUGUUCACUUCAAUCAUCGUUCUAAAAAGUCAAGCUAUUACAACAUCCUAAAAUAAUCUAGUGUCCAAUUCAUUUAACUUUUUAGUUUGACAAUAGGAAACCAAUUAUUUUUGUAAUAUAAGAAGUGUGAUAUUAAGAGAGAAAGCCAAGAAUACAACUGUGCACAUUCAUUUUCAUACAGGAUACCAUAUUCCUAUCCAGAUCUGUAGCAAGUUGCUGAAAACCUAGGGUGUCCAGAACUGAACAAAGUCAUACAAAGAGGAACUACUACCUCCUUGUUUUGUGACAUGAUGCUUUUGUACACGCAUCACAAAAUUGUAUUGGUCUUUGCCUGCCAUAUCACAGUGCAAACUCAUACCGAAUUUGUUGUCUGUCAAUUUCAGGUCUCAGCAUAUCUGUUUGCCACAUUUUCCCCUCAUACAGAAUUUGUGAUUUCUUUUGCCCCGGAUUUAAAAGCUUGCAUUUUUCCAUGUUUAA
This is a non-coding RNA of Chrysemys picta bellii (western painted turtle), 1180 nucleotides long. The record is from RefSeq and is a predicted model, not a curated record. NCBI's taxonomy places the organism in Eukaryota, Metazoa, Chordata, Testudines, Emydidae.